Molecule: unclassified non-coding RNA, 352 nt
Filed under: soil metagenome
Description: partial contains 5.8S ribosomal RNA, internal transcribed spacer 2, and large subunit ribosomal RNA
Rfam family: 5.8S ribosomal RNA (bases 1-120)
Source: RNAcentral
GAUGAAGAACGUAGCAAAAUGCGAUAAGUAGUGUGAAUUGCAGAAUUCAGUGAAUCAUCGAAUCUUUGAACGCACAUUGCGCCCUCUGGUAUUCCGGAGGGCAUGCCUGUUCGAGCGUCAUUAAAACUACUCAAGCUAAGGUUUUUUUUACCUUCUGCUUGGUCUUGGGUUUGAGGAUUCAAAAUCCUCUCUCCGAAAUCCAGUGGCGAAUUGUUUGAGCUGUAGACGUAGUAAAUCAUUCUACCCGUUGCAAGCGAGAAUAAUAUUCAGCCAUAACCCCCAUACUUUUCUAGUUUGACCUCGGAUCAGGUAGGGAUACCCGCUGAACUUAAGCAUAUCAAUAAGCGGAGGA